Molecule: ribosomal RNA, 468 nt
Filed under: uncultured bacterium
Lineage: Bacteria
Description: partial 16S ribosomal RNA
Rfam family: Bacterial small subunit ribosomal RNA
Source: RNAcentral
GACGAACGCUGGCGGCGUGCUUAACACAUGCAAGUCGAACGGAAAGGCCCUGCUUUUGUGGGGUGCUCGAGUGGCGAACGGGUGAGUGACACGUGAGUAACCUGCCCUUGACUUUGGGAUAACUUCAGGAAACUGGGGCUAAUACCGGAUAGGAGCUCCUGCUGCAUGGUGGGGGUUGGAAAGUUUCGGCGGUUGGGGAUGGACUCGCGGCUUAUCAGCUUGUUGGUGGGGUAGUGGCUUACCAAGGCUUUGACGGGUAGCCGGCCUGAGAGGGUGACCGGCCACAUUGGGACUGAGAUACGGCCCAGACUCCUACGGGAGGCAGCAGUGGGGAAUAUUGCACAAUGGGCGGAAGCCUGAUGCAGCAACGCCGCGUGCGGGAUGACGGCCUUCGGGUUGUAGACCGCUUUCGCCUGUGACGAAGCGUGAGUGACGGUAAUGGGUAAAGAAGCACCGGCUAACUACGUG